AAAUGUCUUGUGAGGGCAUGAAAAGGGUAAGGAAAUUCUCAUACAUGAACCAGUGCUUACAUUGAUGGCACCAGAGCCAGUUGUAUUCUCCCUAAGGUAAACGGGGUUAUUCCUCAGCUUCUUCCAGAUGACUGGAUGUGGAAAUAGAACAAAAGGGGCAAGAUGCCUGAAGAAGAGUCCUGACCCAUAUUGUAAGUGGAGGGGCCCCAGAUAACUCUGUAAGCUCAGUAUUCCCUAAAAAGAUGUGAACAAUGGUACAAUAAAAUGUCACAUGCCUA
This is a long non-coding RNA of Myripristis murdjan (pinecone soldierfish), 278 nucleotides long. RefSeq lists it as uncharacterized. The record is from RefSeq and is a predicted model, not a curated record. The transcript has 3 exons. Lineage: Eukaryota; Metazoa; Chordata; Actinopteri; Holocentriformes; Holocentridae.